GGAAGCUUCUCAUUUUAACUGCCUUCUUGGGAACUUGUGCCUUUCUCAUUUACCUCUGGAGAACCAUCCUCGCUAUAAAGCCUCGACAAUAUGAAGUUACUUUAGACCAAAUCAAGAUGAAGAUUAAUGAUUUUAAAAACGAAAACAGGGAUCUUGAAAAAAACAUAGCGAGUUGGGAGGAGAAGGCCAGGGAAGCAAAGAAGCAAGAAGAAACAAAAAGAGAACAUAAGUGUUCCCUUGCUGGAGUACGUAUAUUAAAAGCCCAAGAUGCACUGGCGGAUCAAGAGCUGAGAGCCUUGACAUCAAAAAACGAAGAACUGAAAG
Neogale vison (American mink) is the source of this 324-nucleotide long non-coding RNA. RefSeq lists it as uncharacterized. The record is from RefSeq and is a predicted model, not a curated record. NCBI's taxonomy places the organism in Eukaryota, Metazoa, Chordata, Mammalia, Carnivora, Mustelidae. The transcript is spliced from 5 exons.